This 163-nucleotide unclassified non-coding RNA is filed under the name uncultured Pestalotiopsis. RNAcentral's name for it is "sequence contains ITS2". The record is from RNAcentral. Lineage: Eukaryota; Fungi; Ascomycota; Sordariomycetes; Amphisphaeriales; Amphisphaeriaceae.
CAACCCUUAAGCUUAGCUUAGUGUUGGGAGCCUACUGCUUUUGCUAGCGGUAGCUCCUGAAAUACAACGGCGGAUCUGCGAUAUCCUCUGAGCGUAGUAAUUUUUAUCUCGCUUUUGACUGGAGUUGCAGCGUCUUUAGCCGCUAAACCCCCCAAUUUUUAAU